CAUUCCGGAUUAUUGAUCUUACCGCAGAGUGCGCUGAAUCAGAGCAUGACACGUCAUUAUAAUCUUAGAUUGGAUUCCUGCUUCAACUGGUUAAUUUCCCGUUGCGUGCACUCUUCAGUAGAUGACAAAGAAUCAAAACGUGACAAACGCCACGUCCUUUGAUUUCUCGGAGUUCAUCGAAGUAGCUCAAAGUGAACGUAGAACAGACUGAUCCUUCGCACAAAUGGAGACAAUGAUUACUCAGCACUGGCGUUUUUGGUUGGCGUUUUUUUUCAAGCGACUGGCCCAGGAGAGAAAGUCUGACGAACUUUUCAAGUGAGUCGCGCCGUCCGUCCAAAUGGAAAGUGAAAUCAAGAAACUAAAAAACUCGGUAAACAGUACACAACAUCCAGCUGAGCACCAGAAACUUUUAAUUCUACGUAAUCAGAGAUGACUUGAUGUAACAUGGAACAGAAUCCCAAACUUUUUAGUGGAAUGGCUCAACUCUUGAUCGUAGAAGAAUUUACUAAACGAGUACUGAACAGUUAUCGAUUCGUGACGUCAUUGAUCGGAUAUACACAUGCGCCGUGAACAGGCACAAAGAUGUUUCGGUUUUACCAGCUCUUUGAGAUGGAAGGUCAGCUGCAACAUCAGCUUGAGACUGAAAGCUUGGAAAUAAGACAACAUAUAACGAGUUCAAACUCACAUAUAAUUCAAAGUGAGCUGCAGAGAGUUAUGCAUGUCAUAAGACGACAUUCGUUGGAACACUACCAACGAACAAGGGAGGAGAAAGGCAUGCUUGAGUGUUUGCAGAGGGAGGCAUAUGCCAUGCGGUUAAAAAUCAUGAUGGGAUAAUGAUCGGAUAACGCAUAUCACAGGCGCGAAUGGCAAGAGAUCAUAUUAUAUUUAAAAGUUGUACAGUGUUAAGUAUAAGAUGAACUUAAAGAACAAUAAAAAGUAAAAACCAA
Long non-coding RNA from Orbicella faveolata, 947 nucleotides. The record is from RefSeq and is a predicted model, not a curated record. Lineage: Eukaryota; Metazoa; Cnidaria; Anthozoa; Scleractinia; Merulinidae.